This 301-nucleotide ribosomal RNA is filed under the name uncultured bacterium. Its description in RNAcentral is "partial 16S ribosomal RNA". It matches the Rfam family "Bacterial small subunit ribosomal RNA", at positions 509 to 807 of the family's 1533-position model. The record is from RNAcentral.
CAGCAGCCACGGUAAUACGUAGGUGGCAAGCGUUGUUCGGAUUUAUUGGGCGUAAAGGGCUCGCAGGCGGUUUCUUAAGUCUGAUGUGAAAGCCCCCGGCUCAACCGGGGAGGGUCAUUGGAAACUGGGAAACUUGAGUGCAGAAGAGGAGAGUGGAAUUCCACGUGUAGCGGUGAAAUGCGUAGAGAUGUGGAGGAACACCAGUGGCGAAGGCGACUCUCUGGUCUGUAACUGACGCUGAGGAGCGAAAGCGUGGGGAGCGAACAGGAUUAGAUACCCCCGUAGUCCCUGUCUCUUAUAC